This is a long non-coding RNA of Magnolia sinica, 996 nucleotides long. RefSeq lists it as uncharacterized. The record is from RefSeq and is a predicted model, not a curated record. The transcript is spliced from 4 exons. NCBI's taxonomy places the organism in Eukaryota, Viridiplantae, Streptophyta, Magnoliopsida, Magnoliales, Magnoliaceae.
UUGGUGAGGAUGAGAGAGACUCGCCAUUGGUAGACUUUUACCCGAACCAAACCAGAAAAAUGAAAAGAAGAAAAGAAAAAGGAGAGAGAGAGGGAGGGAGAGAUCGUAGCAAGAAAAAGAAAGGAAGAUGAAAAAAAUGUAAAAAUCGAAGAUCUGAUCUUCAAUCAAUCUCGACAUCACCAGGUUCCUACACAGUAACAAGCUCACUGGGCCAAUUCCACCUAAAUUGGGGAACAUGUCCAAGCUAAGCUAUUUGUGAGGGUUCUUACUUUAAAAUAAAAUUUCCAUUUCGGGGAUAUUUGUGUCUAAAUUAUUUCUAAUAGUUUCCUUCUGCUGGCAAUUGAACAACAAUGAACUGGUUGGUAGCAUUCUGGCCGAGCUUAGACAGCUGGAGUUGUUUGAAUUGUGCAUGGCAAAGAUUGAAUGGUUCCAUUCCAUCUGAACUCCUGAAGCUGGAGAGUCUAACAUAUCUAAACUUCUCAUCGAACAAUUUCAAAGGGUGGAUCCCUGUUGAGUUAGGGCGCAUAAUCAAUCUUGAUACUAUGCCUUUGCUCAACUAUUGCAAGCUCCUCAUGAUGAUGCUCAAAUUAUCAUAACAGAUCGUUUCCCUGUCCCCAUAUUGGUUAUUUGUGAUUUGCAUGGUUCCCAGGUUUGUAAAUGUCUUUUGGCUUCAACCUGUGAAAUAGACCACUCUACUUUUAAUUCCUUUAUAUAAUUUCCAUGGAGGUGGGUAUUCUCACUUCUGGAUUACUCAUGAUUCACCCUUCAAUUCCUGCAAAAGGGCCAAUUGCUGUAAGGAUGAGAUAGAUCGCAUGCCCUAUCUAACUACAGGUGACCUCCUUUUUGAUCUGAUUUUAGCAGCCAUUUUUUUUUUCAAUCUUUGGUUGACUAAUCAUUGUGUUUUUGUACCUCUAUUUGGAAACUUGAAAAAUCUCUAGUUCAUUCGAUCAGUUCAUCAAGACUCAAGAAAGAAAGUAAGAAAAAAAAGAAGAAAAA